This 210-nucleotide ribosomal RNA is filed under the name uncultured bacterium. RNAcentral's name for it is "partial 16S ribosomal RNA". It matches the Rfam family "Bacterial small subunit ribosomal RNA", at positions 524 to 727 of the family's 1533-position model. The record is from RNAcentral.
UACGUAGGGGGCCAAGCGUUAUCCGGAAUCAUUGGGCGUAAAGCGCGUGUAGGCGGUUCCGUAAGUCCGCUCUGAAAGCCCAGGGCUCAACCCUGGGAGGCGGGUGGAUACUACGGGAACUGGAGUACGGAAGAGGAGAUUGGAAUUCCUGGGUGAGGCGGUGAAAAUGCGCAGAUAUCGAGGAGGAACGACCAACAGCGAAGGCAGAUC